This is a long non-coding RNA of Xiphias gladius (swordfish), 411 nucleotides long. RefSeq lists it as uncharacterized. The transcript is spliced from 3 exons. Lineage: Eukaryota; Metazoa; Chordata; Actinopteri; Istiophoriformes; Xiphiidae. The record is from RefSeq and is a predicted model, not a curated record.
UACACAUAAUACACACAACAGCAGUGAUCAGAGAACUCCUGCAUAUGGCAUGACUUUGAGCUGUAACUGAAGUCUGAUGUGUAUAGAGUGAACAAGAAUGGAAAGAAGAGGGUUAAUUUUUGGAGCCCUGUAUUGCUCACCACCAUAUCUGACACUGCUGGUCAGGUAGUCAAAGUUAAUAUGGGGAAGAGAAGGAUUUCAUAUUGAAUUACAGCUUCCUAAAGAAAAGUCUGGCUUCCGAAAACAAAAAGAAAGAAAAGAAAGACGGGAGAGGGAAAAGAAAGUUCAACAGUAUGCCACCCAAUUUUACACAAAGAAAGGCUCGACAGAUUCAACUUCAGGCCAGCAGCCCUGUCUCCCAUUCCCCAUACUCCCUCAAAUGAACCAGCCCUACUCCCAACAGAAGGAGGU